Nomascus leucogenys (northern white-cheeked gibbon) is the source of this 82-nucleotide small nucleolar RNA. Its record names the gene SNORD115. It matches the Rfam family "Small nucleolar RNA SNORD115". From Rfam's summary of the family: HBII-52 is a member of the C/D class of snoRNAs, which contain the C (UGAUGA) and D (CUGA) box motifs. Lineage: Eukaryota; Metazoa; Chordata; Mammalia; Primates; Hylobatidae. The record is from Ensembl.
GGGUCAAUGAUGAGAACCUUAUAUUGUCCUGAAGAGAGGUGAUGACUUAAAAAUCAUGUUCAGUAGGAUUACGCUGAGGCCU